Long non-coding RNA from Pomacea canaliculata, 736 nucleotides. RefSeq lists it as uncharacterized. The record is from RefSeq and is a predicted model, not a curated record. NCBI's taxonomy places the organism in Eukaryota, Metazoa, Mollusca, Gastropoda, Architaenioglossa, Ampullariidae. The transcript is spliced from 3 exons.
GCGCUGAAGGUGACGUAAUAUGAUACACCCUUGUAUCCAACUGUUGCCCACCCGCCUACACCGUGCUUUUAACCCAAAUGGAAAGAAUAAAUACAACCGACUUCGGACACCGACACAAAGACGUGAACACAAAGAGCAGUAAAAGUCGUUCUUCCACACUCUGCUCGAGCUGCUCUACUGGGACGUUGUCAACGCCAGAUGAGACCGUUCCUUCACACUGAUACCACUCUCUAGACCUCUUCUCCUAUUACUGGUAUGCCUUGAGGUCAGGUCUGCUUUUCUGGUUUACUGCCAGGCCACGUCUCCUGAAUGCAGUGUAUUUCUUCUAAAAAUAAAAAUGACUCACCACAGAAAGAAAGAUACAAAGAUCAACAGAAUAAAAUAUGGAUGAAUAAUGAUUUAUCCCAGAGCAAACUUUAUAACUAUUCUUCCAGGGUGAAACAACAUCCGCGAAGUCUGGACGCAGCUUUAUAACUGCGAAAACGAGAUUCACAUUUUUGACUUGCCCACCCUGGGGCAAUGACCUACUCUAGCGUCAUGAGUACAGCUCCGAGUGAUCAAAUGAUAAUAUAAUAAACCAGGUUCCAGGUAGAGUAUUCACCACGUACCACACACACACGAAUGAUGACGUCUUCCUCUACCUGUCUAGUUGACCGUUGAUGACUUUAGAGGCUUAGCUUGCCUUAGAUCUCUCUUAGAACUUGUAAGAAUAUAAAUAUAUCUAAAAUAAAAGCCA